Molecule: ribosomal RNA, 465 nt
Filed under: Vreelandella stevensii
Lineage: Bacteria; Pseudomonadati; Pseudomonadota; Gammaproteobacteria; Oceanospirillales; Halomonadaceae
Description: partial 16S ribosomal RNA
Rfam family: Bacterial small subunit ribosomal RNA
Source: RNAcentral
CCUACGGGGGGCAGCAGUGGGGAAUAUUGGACAAUGGGGGCAACCCUGAUCCAGCCAUGCCGCGUGUGUGAAGAAGGCCCUCGGGUUGUAAAGCACUUUCAGUGAGGAAGAACGCCUGGUGGUUAAUACCCAUCAGGAAAGACAUCACUCACAGAAGAAGCACCGGCUAACUCCGUGCCAGCAGCCGCGGUAAUACGGAGGGUGCGAGCGUUAAUCGGAAUUACUGGGCGUAAAGCGCGCGUAGGUGGCUUGAUAAGCCGGUUGUGAAAGCCCCGGGCUCAACCUGGGAACGGCAUCCGGUACUGUCAAGCUAGAGUGCAGGAGAGGAAGGUAGAAUUCCCGGUGUAGCGGUGAAAUGCGUAGAGAUCUGGAGGAAUACCAGUGGCGAAGGCGGCCUUCUGGACUGACACUGACGCUGAGGUGCGAAAGCGUGGGUAGCAAACAGGAUUAGAUACCCUAGUAGUC